Molecule: ribosomal RNA, 301 nt
Filed under: uncultured bacterium
Lineage: Bacteria
Description: partial 16S ribosomal RNA
Rfam family: Bacterial small subunit ribosomal RNA
Source: RNAcentral
CAGCCGCCGCGGGAAUACGUAGGUGGCAAGCGUUGUCCGGAAUUAUUGGGCGUAAAGGGCUCGCAGGCGGUUUCUUAAGUCUGAUGUGAAAGCCCCCGGCUCAACCGGGGAGGGUCAUUGGAAACUGGGAAACUUGAGUGCAGAAGAGGAGAGUGGAAUUCCACGUGUAGCGGUGAAAUGCGUAGAGAUGUGGAGGAACACCAGUGGCGAAGGCGACUCUCUGGUCUGUAACUGACGCUGAGGGGCGAAAGCGUGGGGAGCGAACAGGAUUAGAUACCCCCGUAGUCCCUGUCUCUUAUAC